RNAcentral lists this ribosomal RNA (458 nucleotides) under uncultured bacterium. RNAcentral describes it as "bacterial SSU rRNA". It matches the Rfam family "Bacterial small subunit ribosomal RNA", at positions 27 to 507 of the family's 1533-position model. The record is from RNAcentral.
GGACGAACGCUGGCGGCGUGCCUAACACAUGCAAGUCGAACGGAGUUCCUUCGGGGACUUAGUGGCGAACGGGUGAGUAACGCGUGAAGAACCUGCCUUUCAGUGGGGGACAACAGUUGGAAACGACUGCUAAUACCGCAUAAUGUUAUUUGGGGGCAUCCUCGAAUAACCAAAGAUUUAUUGCUGAAAGAUGGCUUCGCGUCCGAUUAGGCAGUUGGUGGGGUAACGGCCCACCAAACCGACGAUCGGUAGCCGAACUGAGAGGUUGAACGGCCACAUUGGAACUGAGAUACGGUCCAGACUCCUACGGGAGGCAGCAGUGGGGAAUAUUGGGCAAUGGGCGAAAGCCUGACCCAGCGACGCCGCGUGAGGGAAGAAGGUCUUCGGAUUGUAAACCUCUUUCAGCAGGGAAGAAGCAAGUGACGGUACCUGCAGAAGAAGUCACGGCUAACUACGUG